GUGCAUUCAUUGUGGAGUUGGUGCUAAGUCCACACCACAUAUGCGUCGCGGCCCAGAGGGGCCGAGGACUCUAUGCAAUGCAUGUGGUCUUGCAUGGAGAAAGAAGACGCUAAAAAAAGUGACCUACCUUGAUGCUUCUGGGGAAGGUACUUUUGGUGCAGAAAUGGUGCCAAAACUUGGUAUGGAGUUUGAAAAUGAGAACAGGGCAUACGAGUUCUACAACAACUAUGCUGGAAUGGCAGGUUUUAGCGUGAGGAAAGGCUGGUUGGACAAGAGAGUUUCUGAUAAAACUACAAGAUCAAGGACAUUGGUGUGCUCCAGGGAAGGUUUUCGCCAGGAGAGGAAAGCAGGAAAUGAAGCAAAGCGUCCACGACCAGAAACAAGAAUUGGUUGCCUUGCACGUAUGAAAAUUAAACUUAUGCCAAGUGGAUGGUAUCGUAUUACCAAAUUCAUAGCAGAACACAACCAUCAACUUGCUCCUCCUUCAUCAAAACACUUGUUGAGAUCACAGAGAAUCACAUCUGAGUUUCAAUCCGCUGAUGCAGAUUUAUCAGAUGAUGCAGUAGCUGCUCUAAGAUCUUCUGGUGAGUCCACUGGCACUAGACAAGAUAUUUAUCUCCUACCAUCAGAUUAUAAAGCUUGUCUCCGCUCAAAAAGAAUGAAGUCCAUGCAGUCUGGUGAUGCAGAGGCUCUUCUGAUGUAUCUCCAAAGUAUGCAACUGCAGAAUACUGCAUUUUUCUAUGCCAUUCAACUCGAUGAUGAUGACAAGCUUACAAACAUUUUCUGGGCUGAUUCAAAGUCACUAGAGGAUUUCAGCUACUUUGGUGAUGUAGUUUGUUUGGACACCACAUAUAAAUUUAAUGUACACUGUAGACCAUUCGUAUCCUUUGUUGGUGUGAAUCAUCAUAAGCAAAUUACUCUCUUUGGGGCAGCAUUUCUCUAUGAUGACUCAGUAGAAUCUUUUAAAUGGUUAUUUAAUACUUUUGGGAUUGCAAUGCGUGGGAAACUGCCAAAGACUAUUUUGACAGAUGAAUCGGUUGCAAUAGGUGGUGCAUUGACUAUGGUGUGGCCAGAAACAAUGCAUCGGCUUUGUGUCUGGCAAAUUUAUCACAGUUCCAUGAAACAUCUUAACCAUGUUUUCCAAAGUUCUAAAACAUUUGCAAAGGAUUUUAGCAGAUGCAUCUACAACUCUGAAGAUGAGGAUCAGUUUUUGCUAGGAUGGAGAUCACUUCUGGAAAAGUAUGAUCUUAGAAGCAAUGAGUGGAUUUCGAAAUUAUUUGAGUGCAGAGAGAGUUGGGCUUUGCCAUAUGGUCGGCAUACAUUUUGUGCUGAUAUAAAUAGCACACUUCAAAGCGAAAGCUUCAGUAGCGAGCUAAAAAAGUAUCUAACUCCACAGCAUGAUCUCCUUUUCUUCUUCAGAAACUAUGAAAAGGUGGUAUCUGAGUGUCGUUAUGCAGAACUUCAGGCUGAUUUCCAUGCAAGCCAAUCCUUUCCAAGAAUACCUCCUUCAAAGAUGUUGAGACAAGCAGCCAGCAUGUAUACACCGGCAGUAUUUGAAAUGUUCAGGAAAGAGUUCGAUGUAUUCAUGGAUUGUAUGUUAUAUAAUUCUGCAGAGUAUGGAACAAUUACAGAAUACAGGAUUACAGUGGGUGAGAAUCCAAAGGAAUAUUAUGUUCGUUUAGACUCGACUGAUUUAUCGGUUGCUUGCAGUUGCAAGAAGUUUGAGUUCAUCGGGAUUCAUUGCGGCCAUGUUAUAAAAGUACUUGAUGUCAGAAACAUAAAGGAGUUACCGGAGCGUUAUUACUUAAAGAGGUGGAAAAGAGAAGCAAAGCUUAAAUGUGAAAUGGAACCAAAGUCUCCUACAGUAUCUUUGGUAUCAGGGCAGGUUCCUUCAGUCGCCCAUCAAGGAUGUCAACUGGGUCAGGCUACAGGUUGAGCUGCAUCAAAAGCCUUUAAAUCAUAGUUCUCUAUUAGAUCUGGUGAGGUUGUUUUGGAAACAUUGUGCAUUGAACUGCUACCAGCCUUAUGAUUUGUCAUGGUUAGCAUAUUUGGUAUCACAUCUAGACAAUAUUAUUCUGAAUCAUUUUGCAGAGCUUCUCGGUUUCUGCAUGAAACUGAUCCCCUUCAAGGACUUGGGAGACAGCUUCAAGUCUCUGGUUCCCAUUUCUUAUAUAUGGAAUAUCGACUUCUAUGACGCCUUUUCAAUUUUUUUUUGUUGAAAGCAGCCCCCAAGAUUAAUAAUAAUUGAAUUCUGUUUCUUGUCUGCAUUAUUAUUUUUUUUCUUUUUUUUCCUCAUUUCAAAACUGUAUGUUUAACAAAUGCUAGUUUGGUUGCUAGCAAGUUCGAAUCACCUAAAGGAAGGCUUGUGCAUUGAACUGUUUCCAGCCUUAUGAUUUGUCUUUACAUGUUUGAUGUCAUAUGUAGACUAUCACUCUUAAUCUUUUUGCAGAGCUUCUUGGUUUCUGCAUAAAAUUGAUCCCCUUCAAGACUAGGACAAGUUUUUUCAUGAGGAUCAGUUUUAUGCUGAAACCGUGCAGCUCUGCAAAUAAUAAACAACUCAAUUAGCAAAACCUUCAUCAUAAUUAACCAACCAAACUACAUAAAAAUUCUUGUCUCCAAGCCCAUCAAAGGGAUCAGUUUUAUGCCGAAACCGAGAUGGUCUGCAAAAAAAUAAACCACUCAAUUAUAAUAAGUGAAAUCAAGCCUUCAAGUCUCAACCAUAUUAUUU
Molecule: RNA transcript, 2728 nt
Organism: Phalaenopsis equestris
Lineage: Eukaryota; Viridiplantae; Streptophyta; Magnoliopsida; Asparagales; Orchidaceae
Gene name: protein FAR1-RELATED SEQUENCE 5-like
Source: RefSeq, a predicted model, not a curated record